UGGGGAAUAUUGCACAAUGGGCGAAAGCCUGAUGCAGCAACGCCGCGUGAGGGACGACGGCCUUCGGGUUGUAAACCUCUUUAGCAAGGAAGAAGCGAAAGUGACGGUACUUGCAGAAAAAGCGCCGGCUAACUACGUGCCAGCAGCCGCGGUAAUACGUAGGGCGCAAGCGUUAUCCGGAAUUAUUGGGCGUAAAGAGCUCGUAGGCGGUUUGUCGCGUCUGCUGUGAAAACCCGAGGCUCAACCUCGGGCCUGCAGUGGGUACGGGCAGACUAGAGUGCGGUAGGGGAGAUUGGAACUCCUGGUGUAGCGGUGGAAUGCGCAGAUAUCAGGAAGAACACCGAUGGCGAAGGCAGAUCUCUGGGCCGUAACUGACGCUGAGGAGCGAAAGGGUGGGGAGCAAACAGGCUUAGAUACCCUGGUAGUCCACCCGUAACGUUGGGAACUAGUUGUGGGUCCAUUCCACGGAUUCCGUGACGCAGCUAACGCAUUAAGUUCCCCGCCUGGGGAGUACGGCCGCAAGGCU
This 526-nucleotide ribosomal RNA is filed under the name uncultured bacterium. Its description in RNAcentral is "partial 16S ribosomal RNA". It matches the Rfam family "Bacterial small subunit ribosomal RNA", at positions 355 to 895 of the family's 1533-position model. The record is from RNAcentral.